UGGACCCAAAAACAGGUGAGUUGGACUCUCAAAAGGCAAAAAUAUGUGAUCGGGACACCCUUAUUAAGUAAUGCACGAAUGCAAAUACAGUAUAAAUCCUCAUCCUCCAACUUCUUAGCCGACUAGCUCUGUCAUGGCGUUUCCCUAUGUAGGACUUUGAAGAUGUUGUUAUUCAGCAUGUCAUCACUCAAAACUGCAUGUUAUGCUAAUUAGCUGGUAUUCGUUAGCUGCAUUUUCGCAAGUUGUUACGAGAAAUGUGUCAAACCUCCAUAUAAAAACAAACAAACGCAAGCUUGAAUAUUACUGCAACACGGGUGUUUGUAAUGAGAUGUUUUAGGAGAAGUACUGCACAUCAACAACAUAACCAUAAAUAAUAAUAUUAAUAAUAAUAAUAAUAAUUGUUCCUACCUGUGUCACCGAGCUAGUCCGAACCGGCUGACCGCGAAACUAGCCAUCCAGCACAAUCACUAGCAGCUGCGGCUAACUGGGGAAAUCCCAUUCGAGCCCGCUUCAAAAGUCCCAACAUUUAGUCCUUCCAAACAAUGACGAAGGGACGGAAAUACGCCUCUUAUUGCCCAGUAGUGGCGUGGGAGUCAAAAACAGAAUAGUUAGGGUUGUUCUUCGUCGGGCUUCCCUCAAAAUGAACGGCAUGCUAGCUGCUCGGAGCUAACUGCUAGCCUAGCAGGCUCCUCUCCUCGUGACGGACCGCCCUCUGCCAGUGCCAGUCUGACCAGCUCCGACUCCGAGAUGAGAGACCCGGAAAGCGGCUUGUUGUUCAGAGAUGGAACCCGGGCGGGCGGAGAGUUUACUGGAAACAACUUACUCACUGUUUAUCUUCCUGCUCAAAGCAAUGAGGUCAACUUGAAGGUGUGUUGCAACUUUUCCCAGAUGACACCCUGGGCUGACUGACAGACUGCUUUGACGGCCACGCCAACAAUGCUGGCUACUACGCCAGCCUUGAGCUUCCCCAGGCCACCUGGUCCUACACCAACCCCUACGCCGACGGCAACAAGGAGAUCUUCAUCUACUUUGACCACCUUUGGAAGAACAUCUACAGCAGCUUCCACAACAACGGCUGUAUGGUGCUGCCCAGGU
Long non-coding RNA from Corythoichthys intestinalis (scribbled pipefish), 1095 nucleotides. RefSeq lists it as uncharacterized. The record is from RefSeq and is a predicted model, not a curated record. The transcript is spliced from 3 exons. Lineage: Eukaryota; Metazoa; Chordata; Actinopteri; Syngnathiformes; Syngnathidae.